RNAcentral lists this ribosomal RNA (478 nucleotides) under uncultured bacterium. RNAcentral's name for it is "partial 16S ribosomal RNA". It matches the Rfam family "Bacterial small subunit ribosomal RNA", at positions 28 to 506 of the family's 1533-position model. The record is from RNAcentral.
GAUGAACGCUAGCGGGAGGCCUAACACAUGCAAGCCGAGCGGUAGAGUUUCUUCGGAAACUUGAGAGCGGCGCACGGGUGCGUAACACGUGUGCAACCUACCUUUAUCUUGGGGAUAGCCUUUCGAAAGGAAGAUUAAUACCCCAUAAUAUAAUGAUUGGCAUCAAUUAUUAUUGAAAACUCCGGUGGAUAGAGAUGGGCACGCGCAAGAUUAGAUAGUUGGUGAGGUAACGGCUCACCAAGUCAAUGAUCUUUAGGGGUCCUGAGAGGGAGAUCCCCCACACUGGUACUGAGACACGGACCAGACUCCUACGGGAGGCAGCAGUGAGGAAUAUUGGACAAUGGGUGAGAGCCUGAUCCAGCCAUCCCGCGUGAAGGAUGACGGUCCUAUGGAUUGUAAACUUCUUUUGUACAGGGAUAAACCUACCCUCGUGAGGGUAGCUGAAGGUACUGUACGAAUAAGCACCGGCUAACUCCGU